CAAUAGCGUAUAUUAAAGUUGUUGCAGUUAAAAAGCUCGUAGUUGGAUUUCUGGGAGGGUGCCGCCGUCCGGCGUGUCCGUGUGCAGUGGCGCCCUUCCAUCCUUCUGUUAGCGUCUCUUGGCAUUCAUUUGCUGGUGGCGGGCUCAGAUAUUUUACCUUGAGAAAAUUAGAGUGUUUCAGGCAGGCUAGGCCGGAAUACAUUAGCAUGGAAUAAUGGAAUAGGACUACGGUCUCUUUGUUGGUUUGAGGGACUGCAGUAAUGAUUAAUAGGGAUAGUUGGGGGCAUUAGUAUUUAAUUGCCAGAGGUGGAAUUCUCAGAUUUGUUAAAGACUAACUUAUGCGAAAGCAUUUGCCAAGGAUGUUUUCAUUA
RNAcentral lists this ribosomal RNA (371 nucleotides) under uncultured eukaryote. RNAcentral describes it as "partial 18S ribosomal RNA". It matches the Rfam family "Eukaryotic small subunit ribosomal RNA", at positions 592 to 975 of the family's 1831-position model. The record is from RNAcentral.